UACGUAGGGUGCUAGCGUUGUCCGGAAUCAUUGGGCGUAAAGCGCGUGUAGGCGGUCCGGUAAGUCCGCUGUGAAAGCCAGGGGCUCAACCCUUGGAUGCCGGUGGAUACUGUCGGGCUUGAGUACGGAAGAGGCGAGUGGAAUUCCUGGUGUAGCGGUGAAAUGCGCAGAUAUCAGGAGGAACACCGGUGGCGAAAGCGGCUCCCUGGCCCGAUACUGACGCUCAUGUACGAAAGCGUGGGGAGCAAACAGG
This 253-nucleotide ribosomal RNA is filed under the name uncultured bacterium. RNAcentral's name for it is "partial 16S ribosomal RNA". It matches the Rfam family "Bacterial small subunit ribosomal RNA", at positions 524 to 776 of the family's 1533-position model. The record is from RNAcentral.